UCCAGACUCCUACGGGAGGCAGCAGUGGGGAAUAUUGGGCAAUGGGCGCAAGCCUGACCCAGCAACGCCGCGUGAAGGAAGAAGGCUUUCGGGUUGUAAACUUCUUUUAUGAGGGACGAAACAAAUGACGGUACCUCAUGAAUAAGCCACGGCUAACUACGUGCCAGCAGCCGCGGUAAUACGUAGGUGGCAAGCGUUAUCCGGAUUUACUGGGUGUAAAGGGCGUGUAGGCGGGACUGCAAGUCAGAUGUGAAAAUUAUGGGCUCAACCCAUAACCUGCAUUUGAAACUGUAGUUCUUGAGUGAUGGAGAGGCAGGCGGAAUUCCGUGUGUAGCGGUGAAAUGCGUAGAUAUCAGGAGGAACACCGGCGGCGAAGGCGGCCUGCUGGACCGCGACUGACGUUGAGGCUCGAAAGCGUGGGGAGCGAACAGGAUUAGAUACCCUCGUAC
This 449-nucleotide ribosomal RNA is filed under the name uncultured bacterium. Its description in RNAcentral is "bacterial SSU rRNA". It matches the Rfam family "Bacterial small subunit ribosomal RNA", at positions 330 to 793 of the family's 1533-position model. The record is from RNAcentral.